AUGAACGCUGGCGGCGUGCCUAAUACAUGCAAGUCGAGCGAACAGACGAGGAGCUUGCUCCUCUGACGUUAGCGGCGGACGGGUGAGUAACACGUGGAUAACCUACCUAUAAGACUGGGAUAAAUUCGGGAAACCGGAGCUAAUACCGGAUAAUAUAUUGAACCGCAUGGUUCAAUAGUGGAAGACGGUUUUGCUGUCACUUAUAGAUGGAUCCGCGCCGCAUUAGCUAGUUGGUAAGGUAACGGCUUACCAAGGCAACGAUGCGUAGCCGACCUGAGAGGGUGAUCGGCCACACUGGAACUGAGACACGGUCCAGACUCCUACGGGAGGCAGCAGUAGGGAAUCUUCCGCAAUGGGCGAAAGCCUGACGGAGCAACGCCGCGUGAGUGAUGAAGGUCUUCGGAUCGUAAAACUCUGUUAUUAGGGAAGAACAAAUGUGUAAGUAACUAUGCACGUCUUGACGGUACCUAAUCAGAAAGCCACGGCUAACUACGUG
This 496-nucleotide ribosomal RNA is filed under the name uncultured bacterium. RNAcentral describes it as "partial 16S ribosomal RNA". It matches the Rfam family "Bacterial small subunit ribosomal RNA", at positions 29 to 507 of the family's 1533-position model. The record is from RNAcentral.